GCCCCCAUAGCUCAGCGGAUAGAGCAGGUGCCUUCUAAGCACUUGGCCGCAGGUUCGAGUCCUGCUGGGGGCA
RNAcentral lists this transfer RNA (73 nucleotides) under Streptacidiphilus sp. 4-A2. Its description in RNAcentral is "tRNA-Arg". It matches the Rfam family "tRNA". From Rfam's summary of the family: Transfer RNA (tRNA) molecules are approximately 80 nucleotides in length. RNAcentral also lists the same sequence under 4 other names. Lineage: Bacteria; Bacillati; Actinomycetota; Actinomycetes; Kitasatosporales; Streptomycetaceae. The record is from RNAcentral.